This 71-nucleotide transfer RNA is filed under the name Loxodonta africana (African savanna elephant). It matches the Rfam family "tRNA". Rfam says of the family: Transfer RNA (tRNA) molecules are approximately 80 nucleotides in length. Their secondary structure includes four short double-helical elements and three loops (D, anti-codon, and T loops). The record is from Rfam by way of RNAcentral. Lineage: Eukaryota; Metazoa; Chordata; Mammalia; Proboscidea; Elephantidae.
GCAGUGGUAGUUCAGUGGUAGAAUUUUCACCUUUCAUGUGAGGGACCUGGUUUUGAUUCCUGGCCGGUGCA